CUGGUUUCCUCCCUCCCUUGCCGCGGAGGGGAAAGAGAGGGAGUGUGGCGGGGCGGGUGAUAAUGGGGAGGUACCAGGGCAUAUAAUAGAGCUGGGGGUAGGCGAAGGGAGCGCCAGUGCGUGGCGACGACUCCGGGAGGGGAGGUUCUUGGAGGAAAGGGCGGGGGCUUCUGAUGUAAUGGGGAGUAGUGAUCAAUCCUUCGUUUUGCCCUUUCAGCUUUCCCCACCCACUCCAACCUUCACCCGAUUUUUUAAGCGGAAAAAAAGUGGAGCGCGGAAGCCAAUCUUUGCUAACUCGGAUUUUCUGUGGAUGUUUAUGGGAUUCUAAAUACCUCUCUCAGCUCACAAGAACGGAAUCAGCUGUGGCAAGCAGCUCAAAAAGAAGCUGAUCACAGACAUGAGGACUCUAACAGUAUUGCCUACAGACUCCAACAUUAUGCAUACCAGAGACAAGCCUUACCAACCUACCAUUGACCGGAGCCGCGGGAGACAGGAGACCAAACUCGAGCAGGAUCAGCUCUCAAAGUUUAUUGCGUACAGCGAACCGGACCUAACAAGGUCCGCCACCCUCAACGUUGGUUCCUCUUCCGCCCGUUGGGGGCAGGAACAGCCUCUUAUAAGGGGAAGCAGUAUCCAAUCACAGAGAAGCGCGUCUAACAAGCUGAUAGGCUAGCGUCACGGGUGACUGGGCAGACAUGACAAUUUGGCGGGCUUGUUCAGGCCGGGAAGAACCCGGAAGCAGGAAAUGGGCGCCAUCAUAGGCGGCUUCCCACAUACCAUCUUAACUUUUAUGCUUUCAGAUGGGGGAGUAAUCACCUCUCAUAACUCCACUCCUCCUAACCCCACAUUUAAUUGUCAGAAUUCUGCCUUACCGUGGAAAUGUUUCUACCUCAACAUGGUCCUGAUAGAAUGAUAUGUCUAAAUCAAAGGCACCUUUCCCUCUACCUCACCUGGGUCCUUAAAUAUGACAGUGCCAUGUCUCCUCAUAACAUCUUGUCUCUUUGUUUUUCCAGUCUGACAUACGUGCAUUCACCAGUGAAGUUGUCCUGGCUAAAACACCUGGCAGCAGCGUCUACCUGGGCAUCAACCUUCAUCCCAUCGACUCCCCUAGGCUCCAGUACAGCGCCCUUUUCCAGCAGGAAGUAGUUAAAGAGAGAAAUCUUCACCCCUUUUCAUAAUAAUAAUCAUAAGACGGGAUAUGAAAGGGUUUUGGCCCAGACAGGAUUCUGUAGCCAGGAAAACCUCAACCGGAAGCAGGAAGCCCCAUCUCCCCUGCCCCUAGGGAGUUACCUGUGAUGCCAUCUUCCCGCCCCUGGAAAUUUACAUAUGGCACCAAACCUAGGACCAAUGGGCUACCUGUGCAUCCCUAAUGCCCGCCUUAGGUUCCACCCCAAACCGAGGCUAUUUACAGGCCCCCACGCCACGUGUCCGCCUGAGAGAUCGCCGGACACCAGCGGUGGGGUUGCCGGUCAUCUCUCUCUGUGUUCUCAGAAUAAAGGCCACUUUUUAUUUUAUAUUUCUCAUCUUUUGUUAAUAUAUUUCAUCUUUUGGAAAUAACCCUAGCAACUUCCACCUCACUUCCCCCCUAAAGAAAAC
Long non-coding RNA from Cavia porcellus (domestic guinea pig), 1596 nucleotides. Lineage: Eukaryota; Metazoa; Chordata; Mammalia; Rodentia; Caviidae. The record is from Ensembl.